Molecule: long non-coding RNA, 370 nt
Filed under: Mus caroli (Ryukyu mouse)
Lineage: Eukaryota; Metazoa; Chordata; Mammalia; Rodentia; Muridae
Description: lncRNA (MGP_CAROLIEiJ_G0003456.1)
Source: RNAcentral
ACCGCGUGAGCUUCCCUCCCGGUCUAGCCUGGCCCCUCGCUGACAACCAGAGCCUCUCGGUUGCCCUCUGGGCCUGGCCUUUCGUGUCCGCAGAUCUCGGUUUCCUUCAGAGUCCUGCCUUCUGACAGGUGGCUCGAAGGCGUCCGGCGAGAAGAGCUCAGCUCGUCCUCUACUUGGUGAACCACUUCCCUGAUAAAAGUGUCACCUACCCCACCCCCGGAAGCUUGGGAUGAAGCGGUUUUUUAUAAUCAAGUCACCGGCCAUAUUUUUGCGGAGACUCCGCAUCAAUGGGAUGCACCUAUAGCCUAGUGUCUAAAGUUGAUUUGUUGAAACAUUAAAGCUAUUAUGUGUCAGCUUUCCUACACUAAAA